This is a long non-coding RNA of Polistes dominula (European paper wasp), 682 nucleotides long. RefSeq lists it as uncharacterized. Lineage: Eukaryota; Metazoa; Arthropoda; Insecta; Hymenoptera; Vespidae. The record is from RefSeq and is a predicted model, not a curated record.
AUCUACUCGUCGUUUUCAGUCGACUCGUGAGCGUCGUUCCGAACGUGCACCUGUUUCGAUUAUCUCGUUUACAUUAAAGCUUAUUUUCAUUCUCUCUCUUGACACUUUGAAAAUCUGAUUUGUCGUUGUCGAUCGAAGAGGAGAAGAAGCAUUUCAAAUACAUCGAAGGGAAAAGCUUAUAAGUGAUUAAACACGUUCGAAACAAUUGGUGAAUAAUAAAACGAGAUUAUUCGAGGAAAAGAUAUACGAGGAAUUUUUUUCAAACGCGUAAAUUUAUUUACGUUAAAGGACGAAAAGAGAGGUCAGAGUUUAUAUUACCAGUUGAAGGAAGGAUAUUCAAAAAUGCAUAUGAAGAUAACAUUGUCAUUUCUACUGCUAGUUUGUGUUCUACUAAGAUCGACCGUCGGUAUAAGUCGUCUUCUAAAUUCAGAUUUUGUCUACUUUCCCGAUCAAGCGGAAUACAUUCAGAAAGCUGAACAAUGUCCGGAUAACUUUAUCUUUUGGCCCGGAAAUGGUAAAUGUUACAAAGAAGGUGAAAGAGGACCCUGCAAUGUCGGCCGAGUUUUAAUACUCGACAGACGAUUAUUCAAACCUUACUGCAAGGAUUUUAUAUAGAAGAGUGGUGUUUUAUUUCUGCAAGAGAUGGCAGCACUCGAAGAAAAUUCGAUGUUUCAUCGCAAGU